This 440-nucleotide ribosomal RNA is filed under the name uncultured bacterium. RNAcentral's name for it is "partial 16S ribosomal RNA". It matches the Rfam family "Bacterial small subunit ribosomal RNA", at positions 338 to 795 of the family's 1533-position model. The record is from RNAcentral.
CCUACGGGUGGCUGCAGUGGGGGAUAUUGCACAAUGGGGGGAACCCUGAUGCAGCGACGCCGCGUGGGUGAAGAAGCGCCUCGGCGCGUAAAGCUCUGUUAGCAGGGAAGAAAACGACGGUACCUGAAGCAGAAGCCCCGGCUAACUACGUGCCAGCAGCCGCGGUAAUACGCAGGGGGCAAGCGUUAUCCGGAUUUACUGGGCGUUAAGGGGGCGUAGACGGCGUUGCAAGCCAGGAGUGAAAGUCCGGGGCUCAACGCCGGGACUGCUUUUGAAACUGCGUGGCUGGAGUGCAGGAGCGGCAGGCGGAAUGCAUGGUGUAGCGGUGAAAUGCGUAGAUAUCAGGAAGAACACCGGUGGCGAAGGCAGCCUGCUGGACUGCAACUGACGUUGAGGCCCGAAAGCGUGGGGAGCAAACAGGAUUAGAUACCCUAGUAGUC